This is a long non-coding RNA of Cucurbita maxima (winter squash), 206 nucleotides long. RefSeq lists it as uncharacterized. The record is from RefSeq and is a predicted model, not a curated record. The transcript is spliced from 2 exons. Lineage: Eukaryota; Viridiplantae; Streptophyta; Magnoliopsida; Cucurbitales; Cucurbitaceae.
GUUCCUUUUGUUCCUUCUUGUACAAGGCGGGUUCUUAGGGUCUUAAGUUCUUCUUUCCUUGGUGUUAUAAGGUCUUCCUUAAUCCUGGUAACCACCCUUGACCUUCAUUAAUCCUUGUACUCUCUAGCCUCUACUCUUGUACCUAAAGGUCCAGCGAAAAAAUCUACUCCGAUGAGGGUGUUAUAGACUUCAACUUUGAACACCAA